GACGAAGGGGGCUAGCGUUGUUCGGAAUUACUGGGCGUAAAGAGCGCGUAGGCGGUUUGGUAAGUUGGAAGUGAAAGCCCGGGGCUUAACCUCGGAAUUGCUUUCAAAACUGCCAGGCUAGAGUGUAGUAGGGGAUGAUGGAAUUCCUAGUGUAGAGGUGAAAUUCUUAGAUAUUAGGAGGAACACCGGGGGCGAAGGCGGUCAUCUGGGCUACAACUGACGCUGAGGCGCGAAAGCGUGGGGAGCAAACAGG
Molecule: ribosomal RNA, 253 nt
Filed under: uncultured bacterium
Lineage: Bacteria
Description: partial 16S ribosomal RNA
Rfam family: Bacterial small subunit ribosomal RNA
Source: RNAcentral